GGUGCCUAUGACGAGGAGGACCCACCCGUUCCCAUUCCGAACACGGUAGUUAAGCUCCUCAGUGCUGACGAUACUUGGCUGGUGACGGCCCGGGAAAAUAAGUCGGCGCC
This 110-nucleotide ribosomal RNA is filed under the name chicken gut metagenome. The record is from RNAcentral.